GUGACACCGAAACUGAACGACAAACUUGUUGUUUUUAAGAAUUUAGACGUUUAAUGCGGCACAGCUAAGCCGGUAAAGAAGUGUUGGAUCAUUUAGAGAAGAAGAAGAAAGAAGAAAAAGCCAUCUGGUGCAGAUGGCUUUCUCAGUCAUGGCAUGAGGUGAAGAGACGGUGGGCGACGAGACUGAAGACGACGGACACGACACUUCUUCCAAAAGGAGUGUGUGAGGUUUGCAGUUUUGCGGCAUGGUGAGCAGCAGGAGAGAGAGUGCAGGCGCGUCGGGCGGAGAGUCGC
Long non-coding RNA from Ictalurus punctatus (channel catfish), 293 nucleotides. RefSeq lists it as uncharacterized. The transcript is spliced from 3 exons. The record is from RefSeq and is a predicted model, not a curated record. NCBI's taxonomy places the organism in Eukaryota, Metazoa, Chordata, Actinopteri, Siluriformes, Ictaluridae.